This 453-nucleotide ribosomal RNA is filed under the name uncultured bacterium. RNAcentral's name for it is "bacterial SSU rRNA". It matches the Rfam family "Bacterial small subunit ribosomal RNA", at positions 29 to 506 of the family's 1533-position model. The record is from RNAcentral.
AUGAACGUUGGCGGCGUGGAUUAGGCAUGCAAGUCGAACGGGCCGCAAGGCCAGUGGCGGAAGGGUGAGUAAUGCGACGGUAACCAACCCCGGAAAUGGGUAUAGCCGCGGGAAACUGCGGGUAAUCCCCAGCGACGUGUCGGGUCGGCAUCGACCUGACACCAAAGCUCCGGCGUUCCGGGACGGGCCGUUGUGGUAUUAGCUAGUUGGCGGGGUAACGGCCCACCAAGGCUGCGAUGCCUACCGGGCGUGCGAGCGUGGCCCGGCACACUGGGACUGAGACACUGCCCAGACUCCUACGGGAGGCUGCAGUCGAGAAUCUUCGGCAAUGGGCGCAAGCCUGACCGAGCGACGCCGCGUGGAGGACGAAGGCCUUCGGGUUGUAAACUCCUGUCGAGGGGGAGGAAGGCGUAAGCUUGACCGAUCCCUGGAGGAAGCACGGGCUAAGUUCGU